Molecule: long non-coding RNA, 690 nt
Filed under: Chloebia gouldiae (Gouldian finch)
Lineage: Eukaryota; Metazoa; Chordata; Aves; Passeriformes; Passeridae
Description: Erythrura gouldiae (Gouldian finch) lncRNA (ENSEGOG00005003236.1)
Source: RNAcentral
CGCGCGGGGAGCGCGGCGGGCAUGGCGCGCGACGUGCUGGAGAGGGCGCGGCGGCGCGCGGCGGGCGCGGUCCCGGUCCCGGUCCCGGUCAGUGCCGUGCGCGCACCCGCGGACACGCAUACACAGAUACAGAUAGAGAUGGAGAUGCACGGAGAUACAUCUCCGUACGGGCCGCGGACCCGCCCGGACACUCACACACAGAUACAGAUAGCGACGGAGAUGCACAGAGAUAGCUACAUCUCCGACCGAGACCGGGAGCGCCUCAAUGCAGCGUUCGCUUCGAUUGUGAAUUUGAUGAGAGGGGUCUCAGAGGAAUGCGAGAAGUGCUAUGGGUUUAUGGCAGCCAACAAGUGCAAAGAGAAUGAAAUCAAACACUUCUGCAAAUACCAUGGCAAGUCAGUAGAAAGAAAGAUGGAUUCCAUAGAAGAAGAGGGGACUGAAGGUCCUGUAGAAGCCAGGCAAGCUGAAACUUACCAGCAAAGGCCCAGAAGACCUUACAAAGAUUUAUACAUUGAAGUUUCUCCUGGCAUCUAUUCUGUCACAGCAAUCUCAGAAGACAUGGUGGAACACACCCACGUAGUAGAUGUCAGUGCAGGACAAAGUGUUAAUUUAACUUUUGUUCUGUGAUGUUUGCUGUUUCCUGGCAAUAGCAGGAAUAAAACAUGAGGCUCUUUUUAAUGUGUGUAAUGA